UUCUUAUCAGUCCAACCAUCUGCCAUUAUGGAACAACUAUACUUUGCCCAUUCUUCUUCAUAGGAUUUUAAUGAAUUCUUCACCUCAGCAACUUCAUCAUUCAAUAAGGGAACCCGCACCUCAUGAAAGCUAGGUGCUUUCAUACCAAUCCCAAAUUGUCCAAUAGACUCCACCAUAACUUGAAAACUUGGAUAAUUGACAGCAUUAAAAGGAAUUGCCGCAUCAUACAUCCAUCGAGCUAUAUCCUUACAUGCUUUUUUUCUCAAUUCCUUUUUACAUGCCUCAUUAAUAGUGGUUU
RNAcentral lists this unclassified non-coding RNA (298 nucleotides) under Hevea brasiliensis (rubber tree). Lineage: Eukaryota; Viridiplantae; Streptophyta; Magnoliopsida; Malpighiales; Euphorbiaceae. The record is from RNAcentral.